UUCCUACUCCCUCCAUCCCAAAAUUCUUGUCUUAGGUUUGUGUAGAAAUGGAUGUAUCAAAAUACUAGAACAUGACUAGAUAGAUUCGUAUCUAGACAAACCUAAGACAAGAAUUNNGGGACGGAGGGAGUAUUUC
This is a non-coding RNA of Hordeum vulgare subsp. vulgare (domesticated barley), 136 nucleotides long. The record is from Rfam. Lineage: Eukaryota; Viridiplantae; Streptophyta; Magnoliopsida; Poales; Poaceae.